CCUACGGGAGGCAGCAGUGGGGAAUAUUGCACAAUGGGCGAAAGCCUGAUGCAGCGACGCCGCGUGAGGGAUGACGGCCUUCGGGUUGUAAACCUCUUUCAGCAGGGAAGAAGCGAAAGUGACGGUACCUGCAGAAGAAGCGCCGGCUAACUACGUGCCAGCAGCCGCGGUAAUACGUAGGGCGCAAGCGUUGUCCGGAAUUAUUGGGCGUAAAGAGCUCGUAGGCGGCUUGUCACGUCGGGUGUGAAAGCCCGGGGCUUAACCCCGGGUCUGCAUUCGAUACGGGCUAGCUAGAGUGUGGUAGGGGAGAUCGGAAUUCCUGGUGUAGCGGUGAAAUGCGCAGAUAUCAGGAGGAACACCGGUGGCGAAGGCGGAUCUCUGGGCCAUUACUGACGCUGAGGAGCGAAAGCGUGGGGAGCGAACAGGAUUAGAUACCCUGGUAGUCCACGCCGUAAACGGUGGGAACUAGGUGUUGGCGACAUUCCACGUCGUCGGUGCCGCAGCUAACGCAUUAAGUUCCCGCCUGGGGAGUACGGCCGCAAGGCUAAACUCAAAGGAAUUGACGG
Molecule: ribosomal RNA, 566 nt
Filed under: uncultured bacterium
Lineage: Bacteria
Description: bacterial SSU rRNA
Rfam family: Bacterial small subunit ribosomal RNA
Source: RNAcentral